AUGCGUGAUCAGGUCGGCAUGGAACUGGACGGCUUCCCAAUUGACCACGAGUUUUCGAACGAAUACGGGCAAGAGGAAGAGGACGAGUGUUACAUCAAAGUGGAGCCUUUGUUUGAGGACGAGCUCGCCAACCAAGCCGUCGGGCCGAAGCCGAGAAAGCGCACGAAGGUAUACACGGCGGCCGAGGACAAGCUUCUUUGCGAGUGUUGGAGAGACAUUGGACAAGACCCCAAGACCGGCGCUGAACAAAAGCAUUCGACUUGUUGGAUUCAUGUCCACCGAGAGUUUCAUGAGCUUAAGAAGUUUCCUCCUUACCAAAUUGUGAUCACGCGUCGGUGGGUGUCCAUUUCGAAGCAAUGGAGAGUGAUCUAA
RNAcentral lists this ribosomal RNA (372 nucleotides) under Triticum aestivum (bread wheat). RNAcentral describes it as "partial small subunit ribosomal RNA". Lineage: Eukaryota; Viridiplantae; Streptophyta; Magnoliopsida; Poales; Poaceae. The record is from RNAcentral.